GGCGGGGGCCGGGCCGGGCCGGCGGCGGGGGGCUCGCUCGCCCUCCCUGCCGGAAUGAGCGCCGCAGGGCGGGGCGGCAGCGGCCGCGCAGGACGCGGGGCGGCGCUGCGCUCCUCUUGUGUCCGGAGACAACGGCAGCGACAGCGACAGCGGCGGCGGCUGGCGGGGUCAGCGCCCAGGGACGCUGCCCUUCCUCCAUCCCCCUCGUCCCGCUCCGAGCCAGCUGUCUGCAUUGCAAUGAGACGAGAUUACUACAGUUCUAGAACUACCCACUAAGGAGUUUUAGUGUACACCCAUCCAUCUGCUUAAGAGUGAAAAGCUUGUGCUGCAAGCUGAUCGCCUAAGAACAUGGAAUAUAAUAUGGAUGCAGAUGCUUGAACAUAAUUUCUUCUGUACUCUGCAGAUUGGUAGCUUGAAUCAUUGAUUGAUAAGAAAUUAUACACAGGACUAAUACCAAGGAAAUAUUCUGUCUGUUCAUGUUGGGUUUAAUGAAAAUGAU
RNAcentral lists this long non-coding RNA (499 nucleotides) under Camarhynchus parvulus. RNAcentral describes it as "lncRNA (ENSCPVG00000018121.1)". The record is from RNAcentral. Lineage: Eukaryota; Metazoa; Chordata; Aves; Passeriformes; Thraupidae.